Molecule: long non-coding RNA, 1991 nt
Organism: Labeo rohita (rohu)
Lineage: Eukaryota; Metazoa; Chordata; Actinopteri; Cypriniformes; Cyprinidae
Exons: 3
Source: RefSeq, a predicted model, not a curated record
GGUAAUCGGGUUGGUUGCUAGGGCGGUUGCUAAGGUAUCCAGGGUGGUUGCUAAGGUGUUGCUAUGCGGUUGCUAGGGUAUCCAGGAUGGUUGCUAGGGUGUUGCUAUGCGGUUGCUAGGGUACUUGGGCUGGUUGCUAAGGUGUUGCUAUGCGGUUGCUAGGGUAUCCAGGAUGGUUGCUAGGGUGUUGCUAUGCGGUUGCUAGGGUACUCGGGGUGGUUGCUAGGGCGGUUGCUAAGGUACUUGGGCUGGUUGCUAAGGUGUUGCUAUGCGGUUGCUAGGGUAACCGGGGUGGUUGCUAGAGUGUUGCUAUGCGGUUGCUAGGGUACUCGGGGUGGUUGCUAGGGCGGUUGCUAGGGUACCCAGGGUGGUUGCUAAGGUGUUGCUAUGCGGUUGCUAGGGUACUCGGGGUGGUUGCUAGGGCGGUUGCUAAGGUACUUGAGGUGGUUGCUAAGGUGUUGCUAUGCCGUUGCUAGGGUAUCCAGGGUGGUUGCUAGGGUGUUGCUAUGCGGUUGCUAGGGUACUUGGGGUGGUUGCUAGGGCGGUUGCUAAGGUACUUGGGGUGGUUGCUAGAGUGUUGUUAGGCAGUUACUAGUUGUCACAGAUCAUUACUAUGGAGUUUUAUAGAGUUCUUAACCUGAUUUAACGCUUAGCUAAUCACUAUUAGCAUGUAGCUAUUCACUGCUAGCAUGACUAGCAUCUUAAGGAUUCCUAUUUGCUAGCAUGAAUCAAAAGAACCAAGUCCCAUGUCUGUACGAUGUUCUGAUGUAGAGAUAUAGGACUUGCUAGAUGGUUGCUAGGGUACUCUGUUUGGUUGCUAGGGAGUGGCUUGGCAGCUACCAAUGAUGACACUCCAAAGGCUGCUUGCCACUAUGAAUGAUAUAAAUCAACCUCCAUGUCUCUAUGACAUUCAGAUUUGAAGAUAUGUCUGGGUGGGUUUUGGUUGCUAGGGUGCUCGAUAGUGGUUGCUAGGGAGUGGCUAGGAAGUGGUGGAGCUGAUUCAUGAUUGGCUGUUUACUGCCCUGAGUCAAAUGAGCCCACCCCCAUGUCUCUAUGACACUGUGAUCCAAAGAUAUUCAUCUGGGCUUUUAUAAUGGCAGUCUAUGGGAUCAGUUGCUAGGGUACUCUGUUUGGUUGCUAGGGAGUGGCUUGGCAGCUACCAAUGAGGAGACUCCAAAGGCUGCCUGCCAGUAUGAAUGAUAUAAACCAACCCCCAUGUCUCUAUGACAUUCAGGUUUGAAGAUAUGCCUUUUCAGGUUUGGGUUGCUAGGGUGCUCGAUAGUGGUUGCUAGGGCGUGGCUAGGAAGUGGUGAAGCUGAUUCAUGAUUGGCUGUUUACUGCCCCGAAUCAAAUGAGCCCACCCCCAUGUCUCUAUGACACUGUGAUCCAAAGAUAUUCAUCUGGGCUUUUAUAAUGGCAGUCUAUGGGAUCAGUUGCUAGGGUGCUCUAAAUGGUUGCUAGGGCGUGGCUUGACAGCUUAUCGGUGAUCCUGAGAGUCUGAUUGGUUGUCUGAGUUAAAUGAGCCCUCCCCCAUGUCUCUAUGACAUUGUGAUGCAGAGUUAUGUUCAAUGCAAAAUUCCUAUGUAAAUUACCAUAGUAGGAAAAACACAUGCUUUUCAUGGGCCGUCCCUCCCCAUAGUAUGUCAAUGGGGCCACUUUGGGGGGCUCUUGCGCCCCAGGGGUACAACUUAUACCCCAUUGCGAGGUAUGUUCUCGCACAGCUUGCGAGCCUCUCCAGAUAUGGCGAAUCGCAUGUUUCUACGAAAUUCUCGCUCGGCGCUACGACCCGUCAAAGUUUGCCGCAAUGUUAAGUCUAUGGGAAUUUUUCGGCUGGUUUUUCGCCCAUGGGGCGAACAUCGUACACCCGAUCGCUUAUAAAAGUCAUAGCACACCAUUCCCGAAUAGGCCGCACAAUUUGACACCCGUUUCAUAGGUCUAUGACAAACGGUGCGGGACGAGUUACGCGCCGAAAUUGUGUACGGAAGAAAAAU